AGAGUUUGAUCCUGGCUCAGAACGAACGCUGGCGGCGCGUUUUAAGCAUGCAAGUCGAACGGGAACCUUGUCUUCGGACGAGGGGAUAGUGGCGAACGGGUGAGUAACACGUAGGUGAUCUGUCCUUGGAGUGGGGGAUAGCCCAUGGAAACAUGGGGUAAUACCGCAUGAGGUCUUGGAACUAUGGUUCUUAGAUGAAAGGAGCAAAUGUUCCGCUUUGGGAUGAGCCUGCGGUCCAUUAGCUAGUUGGUAGGGUAAAGGCCUACCAAGGCUACGAUGGAUAGCCGACCUGAGAGGGUGAACGGUCACACUGGGACUGAGACACGGCCCAGACUCCUACGGGAGGCAGCAGCUAAGAAUCUUCCGCAAUGGGGGAAACCCUGACGGAGCGACGCCGCGUGGACGAUGAAGGCCUAGAGGUUGUAAAGUCCUUUUGCAGACGAAGAAUAAGGCAAGGAGUGGAACGCCUUGCUGAUGACGUUAGUCUUGCGAAUAAGCCCCGGCCAAUUACGUGCCAGCAGCCGCGGUAACACGUAUGGGGCGAGCGUUGUUCGGAAUUAUUGGGCGUAAAGGGCGCGUAGGCGGUGCUAUAAGCUUGGUGUGAAAUCCCCCGGCCUAACUGGGGAAUAGCGCUGAGAACUGUAGUGCUUGAGUUCUGGAGAGGAAGCUGGAAUUCCUGGUGUAGGGGUGAAAUCUGUAGAUAUCAGGAAGAACACCGGUGGCGAAGGCGGGCUUCUGGCCAGAAACUGACGCUGAGGCGCGAAAGCGUGGGGAGCGAACAGGAUUAGAUACCCUGGUAGUCCACGCUGUAAACGAUGUGCACUGGGUGUCGGGGCUUUAAUGGGUCUCGGUGCCGUAGUUAACGCGAUAAGUGCACCGCCUGGGGAGUAUGCUCGCAAGGGUGAAACUCAAAGGAAUUGACGGGGGCCCGCACAAGCGGUGGAGCAUGUGGUUUAAUUCGAUACGCGAGGAACCUUACCAGGGCUUGACAUGUACCUGACGGUCUGUGAGAGCAGGCUUUCUCUUCUGGGACGGGUACACAGGUGCUGCAUGGUUGUCGUCAGCUCGUGUCGUGAGAUGUUGGGUUAAGUCCCGCAACGAGCGCAACCCCUACUGUCUGUUGCCAGCAUUAAGUUGGGGACUCGGACGGAACUGCCGGUGACAAACCGGAGGAAGGUGGGGAUGACGUCAAAUCAUCAUGGCCCUUAUGUCCUGGGCUACACCUGCUACAAUGGCAGGUACAGCGCGCAGGAGCGAAACGGUGACGUGGAGCCAAUCGCUAAAAGCCUGCCUCAGUUCGGAUUGGAGUCUGAAACUCGACUCCAUGAAGGUGGAAUCGCUAGUAAUCGCGCAUCAGCAUGGCGCGGUGAAUACGUUCCCGGGCCUUGUACACACCGCCCGUCACACCACCCGAGUUGGGGGUACCCGAAGUCGCUUGUCUAACCCAUUUAUGGGGCGACGGCGCCGAAGGUAUGCCUGGUAAGGGGGGUGAAGUCGUAACAAGGUA
Molecule: ribosomal RNA, 1507 nt
Filed under: metagenome
Description: bacterial SSU rRNA
Rfam family: Bacterial small subunit ribosomal RNA
Source: RNAcentral